Molecule: ribosomal RNA, 253 nt
Filed under: uncultured bacterium
Lineage: Bacteria
Description: partial 16S ribosomal RNA
Rfam family: Bacterial small subunit ribosomal RNA
Source: RNAcentral
UACAGAGGGUGCAAGCGUUAAUCGGAAUUACUGGGCGUAAAGCGUGCGUAGUCGGUUAUCUAAGUCGGAUGUGAAAGCCCCGGGCUCAGCCCGGGAAGUGCGCUCGAAACAGCGCGGCUCGAGUGCCGGAGGGGAGAGUGGAAUUCCUGGUGUAGCGAUGAAAUGCGUAGAUAUCAGGAGGAAUACCGGUGGCGAAAGCGACUCUCUGGACGGCAACUGACGCUGAGGCACGAAAGCGUGGGGAGCAAACAGG